AUGCUUAUAGAUGUUUCUAUUGAGAAAGUGAAAGGGUUGAUUAUUUUUUCGAAGGGUAUAGAGAAAGUGGCUAGUUAGAAGCAUUGGAGAUAGCCAAAAAAAAUUGCACUUGAUAUGAUUAUUAGUACAACAUUUCAUGAAAGACGAGAAAUUAAGAGGAAGAGACAUUUUGAUGAGAACCCAGAUGACAAAAAUGUUGCCACACAGUCUGUAGAGGAAUCAUUUAGAAACAGUUAUUUUACAACUAUUGUUGAUCAAGCAAUUAUGUCACUUACAAGCAGAUUUGAACAAUAUGGUUAGCAGAAAGAUUUUCGUUUCUUAUUUACUUCCAAAUCAUUGCAGUCAUUGGAUAAUGAGAGCUUGAAAUCUUCUUGUGAUAAUCUUGAGGCGGCCCUUAAAAAAGAUAGCAAAUCUGACAUUGAUGCCAAUGAACUGCAGUGGAGUUGA
This 447-nucleotide ribosomal RNA is filed under the name Triticum aestivum (bread wheat). Its description in RNAcentral is "partial small subunit ribosomal RNA". Lineage: Eukaryota; Viridiplantae; Streptophyta; Magnoliopsida; Poales; Poaceae. The record is from RNAcentral.